GAUCAACUCAUGCAUACAAUGCUCAAUCUCCAUUGUUCUACCCUUUUCCCAAACAUAUAUGAUACACAUUCAUUUCCCUAUUCCAAACCCAACUCACAUCUCUCACCCAAGGACUUCAAAAGCAUUUCCCAACAUAAAACUCUCUUUUUUUUUUUUUUUUUUUUUUUACAAGGGAUUUCUUACACUCUUUUGAACACCUCUUAGCUCAUACUAGUUUUGCUAGCCCCCUUUCUUUAUUCUUUCUCUUUUUCUUUUUUUUUUUUUUAAUAUGUUUGGGGGCCAAGACUUUUCACAAAUUGAGCUAUAAGUUUCUCUACUUAUCCCAUAAAGACUAGUCAAUUAAGCACAAGA
RNAcentral lists this long non-coding RNA (351 nucleotides) under Brassica napus (rape). Its description in RNAcentral is "long non-coding RNA (BNAP_LNC010157)". Lineage: Eukaryota; Viridiplantae; Streptophyta; Magnoliopsida; Brassicales; Brassicaceae. The record is from RNAcentral.